GGGUUGUGAGGUUAAGCGACUAAGCGUACACGGUGGAUGCCCUGGCAGUCAGAGGCGAUGAAGGACGUGCUAAUCUGCGAUAAGCGCCGGUAAGGUGAUAUGAACCGUUAUAACCGGCGAUUUCCGAAUGGGGAAACCCAGUGUGACUCGUCACACUAUCAUUAACUGAAUCCAUAGGUUAAUGAGGCGAACCGGGGGAACUGAAACAUCUAAGUACCCCGAGGAAAAGAAAUCAACCGAGAUUCCCCCAGUAGCGGCGAGCGAACGGGGAGGAGCCCAGAGCCUGAAUCAGCAUGUGUGUUAGUGGAAGCGUCUGGAAAGGCGCGCGAUACAGGGUGACAGCCCCGUACACAAAAGCGCAUGUGCUGUGAGCUCGAUGAGUAGGGCGGGACACGUGGUAUCCUGUCUGAAUAUGGGGGGACCAUCCUCCAAGGCUAAAUACUCCUGACUGACCGAUAGUGAACCAGUACCGUGAGGGAAAGGCGAAAAGAACCCCGGCGAGGGGAGUGAAAAAGAACCUGAAACCGUGUACGUACAAGCAGUGGGAGCACAGGUUUACCUGUGUGACUGCGUACCUUUUGUAUAAUGGGUCAGCGACUUAUAUUCUGUAGCAAGGUUAACCGAAUAGGGGAGCCGGAGGGAAACCGAGUCUUAAUUGGGCGUUAAGUUGCAGGGUAUAGACCCGAAACCCGGUGAUCUAGCCAUGGGCAGGUUGAAGGUUGGGUAACACUAACUGGAGGACCGAACCGACUAAUGUUGAAAAAUUAGCGGAUGACCUGUGGCUGGGGGUGAAAGGCCAAUCAAACCGGGAGAUAGCUGGUUCUCCCCGAAAGCUAUUUAGGUAGCGCCUCGUGAAUUCAUCUCCGGGGGUAGAGCACUGUUUCGGCUAGGGGGCCAUCCCGGCUUACCAACCCGAUGCAAACUGCGAAUACCGGAGAAUGUUAUCACGGGAGACACACGGCGGGUGCUAACGUCCGUCGUGAAGAGGGAAACAACCCAGACCGCCAGCUAAGGUCCCAAAGUCAUGGUUAAGUGGGAAACGAUGUGGGAAGGCCCAGACAGCCAGGAUGUUGGCUUAGAAGCAGCCAUCAUUUAAAGAAAGCGUAAUAGCUCACUGGUCGAGUCGGCCUGCGCGGAAGAUGUAACGGGGCUAAACCAUGCACCGAAGCUGCGGCAGCGANNUGCUGGAGGUAUCAGAAGUGCGAAUGCUGACAUAAGUAACGAUAAAGCGGGUGAAAAGCCCGCUCGCCGGAAGACCAAGGGUUCCUGUCCAACGUUAAUCGGGGCAGGGUGAGUCGACCCCUAAGGCGAGGCCGAAAGGCGUAGUCGAUGGGAAACGGGUUAAUAUUCCCGUACUUGGUGUUACUGCGAAGGGGGGACGGAGAAGGCUAUGUUGGCCGGGCGACGGUUGUCCCGGUUUAAGCGUGUAGGUGUGUGUUCCAGGUAAAUCCGGUUCACUUUAACACUGAGGCGUGACGACGAGGCACUACGGUGCUGAAGCAACAAAUGCCCUGCUUCCAGGAAAAGCCUCUAAGCAUCAGGUAACAUCAAAUCGUACCCCAAACCGACACAGGUGGUCAGGUAGAGAAUACCAAGGCGCUUGAGAGAACUCGGGUGAAGGAACUAGGCAAAAUGGUGCCGUAACUUCGGGAGAAGGCACGCUGACAUGUAGGUGAAGUGAUUUACUCAUGGAGCUGAAGUCAGUCGAAGAUACCAGCUGGCUGCAACUGUUUAUUAAAAACACAGCACUGUGCAAACACGAAAGUGGACGUAUACGGUGUGACGCCUGCCCGGUGCCGGAAGGUUAAUUGAUGGGGUCAGCGCAAGCGAAGCUCCUGAUCGAAGCCCCGGUAAACGGCGGCCGUAACUAUAACGGUCCUAAGGUAGCGAAAUUCCUUGUCGGGUAAGUUCCGACCUGCACGAAUGGCGUAAUGAUGGCCAGGCUGUCUCCACCCGAGACUCAGUGAAAUUGAACUCGCUGUGAAGAUGCAGUGUACCCGCGGCAAGACGGAAAGACCCCGUGAACCUUUACUAUAGCUUGACACUGAACAUUGAGCCUUGAUGUGUAGGAUAGGUGGGAGGCUUUGAAGCGUGGACGCCAGUCUGCGUGGAGCCGACCUUGAAAUACCACCCUUUAAUGUUUGAUGUUCUAACGUGGACCCGUAAUCCGGGUUGCGGACAGUGUCUGGUGGGUAGUUUGACUGGGGCGGUCUCCUCCUAAAGAGUAACGGAGGAGCACGAAGGUUGGCUAAUCCUGGUCGGACAUCAGGAGGUUAGUGCAAUGGCAUAAGCCAGCUUGACUGCGAGCGUGACGGCGCGAGCAGGUGCGAAAGCAGGUCAUAGUGAUCCGGUGGUUCUGAAUGGAAGGGCCAUCGCUCAACGGAUAAAAGGUACUCCGGGGAUAACAGGCUGAUACCGCCCAAGAGUUCAUAUCGACGGCGGUGUUUGGCACCUCGAUGUCGGCUCAUCACAUCCUGGGGCUGAAGUAGGUCCCAAGGGUAUGGCUGUUCGCCAUUUAAAGUGGUACGCGAGCUGGGUUUAGAACGUCGUGAGACAGUUCGGUCCCUAUCUGCCGUGGGCGCUGGAGAACUGAGGGGGGCUGCUCCUAGUACGAGAGGACCGGAGUGGACGCAUCACUGGUGUUCGGGUUGUCAUGCCAAUGGCACUGCCCGGUAGCUAAAUGCGGAAGAGAUAAGUGCUGAAAGCAUCUAAGCACGAAACUUGCCCCGAGAUGAGUUCUCCCUGAGACUU
Molecule: ribosomal RNA, 2751 nt
Filed under: Salmonella enterica
Lineage: Bacteria; Pseudomonadati; Pseudomonadota; Gammaproteobacteria; Enterobacterales; Enterobacteriaceae
Description: bacterial LSU rRNA
Rfam family: Bacterial large subunit ribosomal RNA
Source: RNAcentral